Molecule: ribosomal RNA, 253 nt
Filed under: uncultured bacterium
Lineage: Bacteria
Description: partial 16S ribosomal RNA
Rfam family: Bacterial small subunit ribosomal RNA
Source: RNAcentral
UACAGGGGGUGCAAGCGUUGUCCGGAUUUAUUGGGCGUAAAGAGCGUGUAGGCGGCUUUACAGGUCCGUUGUGAAAACUCGAGGCUCAACCUCGAGACGCCGGUGGAAACCGUAAAGCUAGAGUCCGGAAGAGGAGAGUGGAAUUCCUGGUGUAGCGGUGAAAUGCGCAGAUAUCAGGAGGAACACCCGUGGCGAAAGCGGCUCUCUGGGACGGUACUGACGCUGAGACGCGAAAGCGUGGGGAGCAAACAGG